Molecule: ribosomal RNA, 484 nt
Filed under: uncultured bacterium
Lineage: Bacteria
Description: bacterial SSU rRNA
Rfam family: Bacterial small subunit ribosomal RNA
Source: RNAcentral
AGAGUUUGAUUAUGGCUCAGGAUGAACGCUGGCGGCGUGCCUAACACAUGCAAGUCGAGCGAUUCUCUUCGGAGAAGAGCGGCGGACGGGUGAGUAACGCGUGGGUAACCUGCCUCAUACACAUGGAUAACAUACCGAAAGGUAUGCUAAUACAGGAUAAUAUAAGAGAUUCACAUGGAUUUCUUAUCAAAGCUCCGGCGGUAUGAGAUGGACCCGCGUCUGAUUAGCUAGUUGGUAAGGUGACGGCUUACCAAGGCGACGAUCAGUAGCCGACCUGAGAGGGUGAUCGGCCACAUUGGAACUGAGACACGGUCCAAACUCCUACGGGAGGCAGCAGUGGGGAAUAUUGCACAAUGGGCGAAAGCCUGAAUGCAGCAACGCCGCGUGAGUGAUGAAGGCCUUCGGGUCGUAAAACCCUGUCCUCAAGGAAGAUAAUGACGGUACUUGAGGAGGAAGCCCCGGCUAACUACGUGCCAGCCGCCGC